This 478-nucleotide ribosomal RNA is filed under the name uncultured bacterium. Its description in RNAcentral is "partial 16S ribosomal RNA". It matches the Rfam family "Bacterial small subunit ribosomal RNA", at positions 28 to 523 of the family's 1533-position model. The record is from RNAcentral.
GACGAACGCUGGCGGCGUGCUUAACACAUGCAAGUCGAACGGUAAGGCCCUUCGGGGUACACGAGUGGCGAACGGGUGAGUAACACGUGGGUGAUCUGCCCUGCACUUCGGGAUAAGCCUGGGAAACUGGGUCUAAUACCGGAUAGGACUCCUGGCUUCAUGGUUGGGAGUGGAAAGCUUUUGCGGUGUGGGAUGGGCCCGCGGCCUAUCAGCUUGUUGGUGGGGUAAUGGCCUACCAAGGCGACGACGGGUAGCCGGCCUGAGAGGGUGAUCGGUCACACUGGGACUGAGAUACGGCCCAGACUCCUACGGGAGGCAGCAGUGGGGAAUAUUGCACAAUGGGCGCAAGCCUGAUGCAGCGACGCCGCGUGAGGGAUGACGGCCUUCGGGUUGUAAACCUCUUUCAGCUAUGACGAAGCGCAAGUGACGGUAGAAGCAGAAGAGGGACCGGCCAACUACGUGCCAGCAGCCGCCGUAA